RNAcentral lists this ribosomal RNA (253 nucleotides) under uncultured bacterium. RNAcentral's name for it is "partial 16S ribosomal RNA". It matches the Rfam family "Bacterial small subunit ribosomal RNA", at positions 524 to 776 of the family's 1533-position model. The record is from RNAcentral.
UACGUAGGGAGCAAGCGUUAUCCGGAUUUACUGGGUGUAAAGGGCGCGUAGGCGGGAUGGCAAGUCAGAUGUGAAAUCCAGGGGCUCAACCCCUGAACUGCAUUUGAAACUGUCGUUCUUGAGUACUGGAGAGGUUGACGGAAUUCCUAGUGUAGCGGUGAAAUGCGUAGAUAUUAGGAGGAACACCAGUGGCGAAGGCGGUUAACUGGACAGCAACUGACGCUGAGGCGCGAAAGCGUGGGGAGCAAACAGG